GCGAAAGCAUUCAUCAAUUACAUUCUUUUUAAUCAAGAACGAAAGUCUGGGUAGCGAAGACGAUUAGAUACCGUUGUAGUCUAGACCAUAAACGAUGACAUCUUAGGAUAUCAUUUAAUAAAUUUUCAUUUUUUUUAUAAUUUACUCUUGUUCAUUUAGAUAUUUGUAGUAAUACAUUAUCUUCCUAGACAAAUGAUGCACUAUGUGGGAAACCAACAGCAGUCUUCGUGGAGUGUAUGUUAGCAAUGAUGAAAUUUAAAAGAAUUGACGGAAGUACCACCACCAGGAGUGGAUUAUGCGAUUCAAAUUGACUCAACGCGAGGAAGCUUACCAGUGCCGAACACCGUGAGGAAAGACAGAUUGCAGCUCUUUCUUGAUUCUGUGCUUGUUAAAUGUAGUGCAUGGCCUUUGGGAAGUGAGUGGAUUG
RNAcentral lists this ribosomal RNA (427 nucleotides) under uncultured Cercozoa. Its description in RNAcentral is "partial 18S ribosomal RNA". It matches the Rfam family "Eukaryotic small subunit ribosomal RNA", at positions 945 to 1308 of the family's 1831-position model. The record is from RNAcentral. Lineage: Eukaryota; Cercozoa.